CUAAUAAGUUUUCAUCUUGUGACUUAAGCAAUUAAAGAAUGUGAUAUUGAUCUAGAUGGAUGAGCUCUUGAAGUUGUAGGCAUUGGCUACACUUGGGAUGAAUUGCUCUGGACUGCUGCAUGGUUGUAUCAAACAUCUAACAAUCAAUAUUACUUGGAUUAGCUCGGUAGAAAUGGUGACUCCAUGGGUGGAACCGGUUGCCAAAUGACUGAAUUUAGUUGGGAUGUAAAGUAUCCUGGUGUUCAGACUUUGGUUUCCAAGUUCCUAUUGCCAGGAAAAGCUGGCAUUCAUACAUCGGUGUUUGAAAGAUAACUGGAAAAGUCGGAGUACUUCAUGUUCAUGCAUGGGAAGGGGUACUCACAAUGUUAAGAGGACACCCGGUGGCCUUAUAUACUGCCAGAGAUGGAACGACUUACAGUUCACCACAAGUUCCUCCUUUUUAACUAUGUCUAUUCUGAUUGUCUCGCUUCUUCUGCUAGGGACUUGAAAUGUGCUUCUAGCUAUG
This is a long non-coding RNA of Vicia villosa (hairy vetch), 505 nucleotides long. RefSeq lists it as uncharacterized. The transcript is spliced from 3 exons. The record is from RefSeq and is a predicted model, not a curated record. Lineage: Eukaryota; Viridiplantae; Streptophyta; Magnoliopsida; Fabales; Fabaceae.